This 205-nucleotide unclassified non-coding RNA is filed under the name soil metagenome. RNAcentral describes it as "partial contains 5.8S ribosomal RNA, internal transcribed spacer 2, and large subunit ribosomal RNA". The record is from RNAcentral.
AACAAGGCGUACCUGCGGACCUGCGGAGGGAUCAUUACCGAGUUUACAACUCCCAAACCCCUGUGAACAUACCUAUACGUUGCCUCGGCGGAUCAGCCCGCGCCCCGUAAAACGGGACGGCCCGCCCGAGGACCCCUAAACUCUGUUUUUAGUGGAACUUCUGAGUAAAACAAACAAAUAAAUCAAAACUUUUAGCAAUGGAUCU